Numida meleagris (helmeted guineafowl) is the source of this 1440-nucleotide long non-coding RNA. RefSeq lists it as uncharacterized. The record is from RefSeq and is a predicted model, not a curated record. The transcript has 4 exons. Lineage: Eukaryota; Metazoa; Chordata; Aves; Galliformes; Numididae.
AGAUGGAGAUUCCAGCUUAGGAAAAUAUUAAAACAGAGAUUUCAAAGGGACUUCGGAAAAUGCUUAAAGGCUCCGCACUUCCCCAGAUGCAACACGAGGCCACAGAACAGGAGAGAUUAGAUAGCCAGAAGAGUGUUUCCCACCGAGACUGUUACAGGCAAAAAAAAAAAAAAAAAUCCACUCUUCACCCCUCUGACAACAGUGGGAUUUUCACCAUCAUUAUGCCACCUGACAUGGAUAUUUAAUUGGCCAGCAUAUAGUCAGAGAUGGCUUCACCAUGGAGUCACGCACAUGAGAACACUAGACUGUGGUCCCACACAUUGACUGUAAUGGUUUUCCCAUGUACCCUGGCUCCUGGUUGAUCCGGAGGUUUUAAAACAGACCUUUAAGCUACAGGGUUUUCCUUGCCCUUUGAGAAACAUCUUGCUUGAAUCAAGAAAAGUCAUCCAUCCUAUGUCUUCUUGUACAGAUCUUACCUAUCCCAGACGAGCAUUGGUCAACGGCCUGGAUCCCAUAUACCUCAAGACUGUGGGAAGUCUGAAUGAUAGGUAACCCUCCUCAUACAGGGAGAGCAAGACAGUGAUGAGCAGGACUUCAGACCUAAAUACACCUAGAUAAGGUGUAGCUGCGUAGCAUAUUGUAAAAAUCUACUGCACACUGGUCUGUGCUUUGUGUAUUAUAAUAACCCAAACCUGGGUGGAAGGAUGAGAAAGGCUUUUCUUAUGGGCAUAUGUAAAUAGACAAGUGCCAUAAUUAACAACGACCAGCAGCAGUGGCAUUCCUUUGUGAAAAGCCCUGAAGCCAUUAAAUUGGCAAGUGAAUUGCUAGGCUAUUUGACCUACAGUUCAUUCCUAACAUAAGCGCUGAGGCUGUGAAAAACCUGAGCAAAGUGUUCGUAAAGACAGUAGGGUUUGCACCAACUCUUUAAGAGGAUGCAGAGCUGUAAGCAUAAUUUGCCCCUUCCAGAGGGGAAGCAACAGUCUUAUGCGCCUCAGAAGGUAUAAGCAAUUGUAGGGGCUUUUUAGUUGCCAUAAAUAUUCAGGCAAGCAAAAGCCAGUGCUUUGUUUUCAAAGCACUGAUUAAAACACUCCAUUGUGCUGAACUUUGAGUAGAGGUUGUUCCUAAAGCUUAUUUUUGAUUACCAGCUCACCACAAAAUCCAUUAUUGCCCACUUUUAAUGCCGACUAUCAAAACCAUUUGAUAGCUACAGAUGUUUAUUGUGCUGAACACAGUGAGACACUAACAAAUCUGCUGUAACAAGAAGCAACCCAUUAUAGUAAGAGAAGACUUCACUCUGAAACCAAUAUCUUUAGACGUCAGUCUGAAAUACAGCCUACUGACAUGUUUUCUGCACAGCUGGCAAUUUUACUGUAUGACACAACAAAUCUCUAUGUGAAAUAGCUUUUUUUUAUUCUCUACUAAAAAAAAACAACAACAACA